RNAcentral lists this ribosomal RNA (447 nucleotides) under uncultured bacterium. RNAcentral describes it as "bacterial SSU rRNA". It matches the Rfam family "Bacterial small subunit ribosomal RNA", at positions 331 to 793 of the family's 1533-position model. The record is from RNAcentral.
CCAGACUCCUACGGGAGGCAGCAGUGGGGACUCUUGCACAAUGGUUUGCCCCCUGAUGCCGCGCCGCCGCGUGGGUGCAGGAGUAUUUCGGUCUGUAAAGCCCUAUCAGCAGGGAAGCACAAUGACGGUCCCUGACUAAGAAGCCCCGGCUAACUACGUGCCAGCAGCCGCGGUAAUACGUAGGGGGCAAGCGUUAUCCGGAUUUACUGGGGGUAAAGGGAGCGGAGACGGUGCAGCAAGUCUGAUGUGAAAGGUCGGGGCCCAACCCCGGGACUGCAUUGGAAACUGUUGAACUGGAGUACAGGAGAGGUAAGCGGAAUUCCUAGUGGAGCGGUGAAAUGCGGAGAGAUUAGGAGGAACACCAGUGGCGAAGGCGGCUUACUGGACGGGAACUGCCGGGGAGGCUCGAAAGCGGGGGGAGCAAACAGGAGGAGAUACCCGAGUACG